RNAcentral lists this ribosomal RNA (600 nucleotides) under bacterium enrichment culture clone F61x_D12_T3_D02. RNAcentral's name for it is "bacterial SSU rRNA". It matches the Rfam family "Bacterial small subunit ribosomal RNA", at positions 21 to 616 of the family's 1533-position model. The record is from RNAcentral.
GGCUCAGAUUGAACGCUGGCGGCAUGCCUUACACAUGCAAGUCGAACGGCAGCGCGGGGCAACCUGGCGGCGAGUGGCGAACGGGUGAGUAAUAUAUCGGAACGUACCCUGGAGUGGGGGAUAACGUAGCGAAAGUUACGCUAAUACCGCAUACGAUCUAAGGAUGAAAGUGGGGGAUUCGCAAGAACCUCAUGCUCCUGGAGCGGCCGAUAUCUGAUUAGCUAGUUGGUGGGGUAAAGGCCUACCAAGGCAUCGAUCAGUAGCUGGUCUGAGAGGACGACCAGCCACACUGGGACUGAGACACGGCCCAGACUCCUACGGGAGGCAGCAGUGGGGAAUUUUGGACAAUGGGCGCAAGCCUGAUCCAGCAAUGCCGCGUGAGUGAAGAAGGCCUUCGGGUUGUAAAGCUCUUUUGUCAGGGAAGAAACGGGCCGGGUUAAUACCCUGGUCUAAUGACGGUACCUGAAGAAUAAGCACCGGCUAACUACGUGCCAGCAGCCGCGGUAAUACGUAGGGUGCAAGCGUUAAUCGGAAUUACUGGGCGUAAAGCGUGCGCAGGCGGUUGUGCAAGACCGAUGUGAAAUCCNCGGGCUUAACCUC